This 500-nucleotide ribosomal RNA is filed under the name uncultured bacterium. RNAcentral describes it as "bacterial SSU rRNA". It matches the Rfam family "Bacterial small subunit ribosomal RNA", at positions 26 to 518 of the family's 1533-position model. The record is from RNAcentral.
AGGAUGAACGCUAGCUCAAGGCUUAACACAUGCAAGUCAGGGGCAGCAUACGAAAGCUUGCUUUGUUGAUGGCGACCGGCGCACGGGUGAGUAACGCGUAUCCAACCUUCCCCUUAGUAGGGCAUAGCCCGGUCGAAAGUCGGAUUAAUACCCUAUGUUUCCCGUUGAGGACAUCUGAAGUGGAACAAAGAUUUAUCGCUAAGGGAUGGGGAUGCGUCUGAUUAGGUUGUUGCGGGGUAACGGCCACCAAGCCAUCGAUCAGUAGGGGUUCUGAGAGGAAGGUCCCCCCACAUUGGUACUGAGACACGGACCAAACUCCUACGGGAGGCAGCAGUGAGGAAUAUUGGUCAAUGGGCGAGAGCCUGAACCAGCCAAGUAGCGUGCAGGAUGACGGCCCUAUGGGUUGUAAACUGCUUUUGCAUGGGAAUAAAGUGAGGGACGUGUCCCUUUUUGUAUGUACCAUGAGAGUAAGGACCGGCUAAUUCCGUGCCAGCCGCCGC